AAAAUCAGAGAAAGGAAAAUACACAGAGAAGUCUGCUACUGUCUUUAUCUGUUGAGAGUUUCUUUUUUCGAUUAUGUUUAGUUUCCUUCUUUUGCUUGAACUUUGAAUAGGUUUAAAUAUGAAUCAAUAAGGUUGGAUUUGAUCUUUUGAUGAGUCACUUAAGGGUUUAAAGUUGAUGUUAGCUGGUUGAUUUACAUUGUUUGCUGAUUUUUGGGCUGGAAAUUCACUGUUCUAUUGGGUUCAGAAUUUGUUGUGGUUUUCUCACUGACAUGGGGCUGUGUGUGUUGCUGAUUUCAAUCUCUGCUGAAACGCAACCUCUGAUUUUUCUCGGGUUAUUGUUUCCUUCAAUUUUCAGGUACACAUUCCUGAUCCUGAACGUGUAAAAUGGCACAUGUGAAUUGAAGAAGUGGAAAUCAAAGGAUGUGAUAAUGUUGUGCACUUAACUAGUUUUUUCUCUUUUUUGUGCUUUGGUUAUCUGCAAUCUCGUGUUAUUGGAUAUGUAGUAAGAAUCUGUGCUUAGUACUUCAUACAUUACUCGUUGGUUUGGAU
This 549-nucleotide long non-coding RNA is filed under the name Nicotiana benthamiana. RNAcentral describes it as "long non-coding RNA (NBEN_LNC009845)". The record is from RNAcentral. Lineage: Eukaryota; Viridiplantae; Streptophyta; Magnoliopsida; Solanales; Solanaceae.